Molecule: ribosomal RNA, 254 nt
Filed under: uncultured bacterium
Lineage: Bacteria
Description: partial 16S ribosomal RNA
Rfam family: Bacterial small subunit ribosomal RNA
Source: RNAcentral
UACGUAGGGGGCGAGCGUUGUCCGGAUUUAUUGGGCGUAAAGAGCUCGUAGGCGGUUCGAUAAGUCGGACGUGAAAUCUCCACGCUCAACGUGGAGGGGCCGUUCGAUACUGGCGUGACUCGAGUCCGGUAGGGGAGUGUGGAAUUCCCGGUGUAGCGGUGAAAUGCGCAGAGAUCGGGAGGAACACCCGUAGCGAAGGCGGCACUCUGGGCCGGUACUGACGCUGAGGAGCGAAAGCGUGGGGAGCAAACAGG